Molecule: ribosomal RNA, 497 nt
Filed under: uncultured bacterium
Lineage: Bacteria
Description: partial 16S ribosomal RNA
Rfam family: Bacterial small subunit ribosomal RNA
Source: RNAcentral
GAUGAACGCUGGCGGCGUGCCUAAUACAUGCAAGUCGAGCGAACAGACCAGGAGCUUGCUCCUCUGACGUUAGCGGCGGACGGGUGAGUAACACGUGGAUAACCUACCUAUAAGACUGGGAUAACUUCGGGAAACCGGAGCUAAUACCGGAUAAUAUAUUGAACCGCAUGGUUCAAUAGUGUAAGACGGUUUUGCUGUCACUUAUACAUGGAUCCGCGCCGCAUUAGCUAGUUGGUAAGGUAACGGCUUACCAAGGCAACGAUGCGUAGCCGACCUGAGAGGGUGAACGGCCACACUGGAACUGAGACACGGUCCAGACUCCUACGGGAGGCAGCAGUAGGGAAUCUUCCGCGAUGGGCGGAAGCCUGACGGAGCAACGCCGCGUGGGUGAUGAAGGUCUUCGGAUCGUAAAACUCUGUUAUUAGGGAAGAACAAAUGUGUAAGUAACUAUGCACGUCUUGACGGUACCUAAUCAGAAAGCCACGGCUAACUACGUG